Molecule: ribosomal RNA, 652 nt
Filed under: Limnothrix sp. AIB4
Lineage: Bacteria; Bacillati; Cyanobacteriota; Cyanophyceae; Pseudanabaenales; Pseudanabaenaceae
Description: bacterial SSU rRNA
Rfam family: Bacterial small subunit ribosomal RNA
Source: RNAcentral
UUCCGGGAACGGGGGUUGGAGUUAACGCGUUGAAGAAAUUCUGCCCUUCAGGUCGGGGGACAACGACUAAAAAACGGGUCGCUAAUACCCGAUGUGCCGAGAGGUGAAAGGUUAACUGCCUGAAGAUGAGCUCGCGUCCGAUUAGCUAGUUGGUGGGGUAAGAGCCUACCAAGGCAGUGAUCGGUAGCUGGUUUGAGAGGACAAUCAGCCACACUGGGACUGAGACACGGCCCAGACUCCUACCCGAGGCAGCAGUGGGGAAUUUUCCGCAAUGGGCGAAAGCCUGACGGAGCAAUACCGCGUGAGGGACGAAGGCCUGUGGGUUGUAAACCUCGGGGCUCAGGGAAGAAGAUCUGACGGUACCUGAGGAAUCAGCAUCGGCUAACUCCGUGCCAGCAGCCGCGGUAAGACGGAGGAUGCAAGCGUUAUCCGGAAUUAUUGGGCGUAAAGCGUCCGCAGGCGGUCUCGUAAGUCUGUCUUUAAAGCGUGGAGCUUAACUCCAUAAAGGGGAUGGAAUUCUGCGAGACUAGAGGUAGGUAGGGGUAGAAGGAAUUCCCAGUGUAGCGGGUGAAAUGCGUAGAUAUUAUAGGGGAACACCAGCAGCGAACGCGUUCUACUGGACAAACCUGAGCUCAUGGACGAAAGCUAGUUG